This 468-nucleotide ribosomal RNA is filed under the name uncultured bacterium. Its description in RNAcentral is "partial 16S ribosomal RNA". It matches the Rfam family "Bacterial small subunit ribosomal RNA", at positions 28 to 507 of the family's 1533-position model. The record is from RNAcentral.
GACGAACGCUGGCGGCGUGCUUAACACAUGCAAGUCGAACGGUGAGGCCCUGCUUUGCUGCGGUGCUCGAGUCGCGAACGGGUGAGUAACGCGUGGGUAACCUGCCCGUGACUGUGGGAUAACUUCAGGAAACUAUAGCUAAUACCGUAUAAGCGUUGCUGCUGCAUGGUGUGUGAUGAACAGGUGCGGCCGCUGCAGAUCGACUCGCGGCUGAGCAGCUUGUUGGCGGAGGAGUGGAUUAGCCAUGCUUUGACGGGUAGCCGGCCUGGGAGGGUGACCGGCCACAUUGGGACUGAGGUACGGCCCAUACUCCUACGGGAGGAAGCAGUGGGGAAUAUUGCACAAUGGGCGGAAGCGGGAUGCAGCAACGCCGGGUGCGGGAUGACGGCCUUCGGGUUGUAAACAGCUUUCGACCGUGACGAAGCGUGAGUGACGGUAAUGUGUAAAGAAGCACCGGCUAACUACGUG